GUAGGCAUCCCGGGGGACAAACGCUGGGUCGUCCUGAGUCGCUCCCACUCGCCAGGUCCCAUAACCUUGAAGACUGCCAGACUUCCCCAGCCGAAGCAUCGCACCCUGGUGCUCGAGAACUUGGUCGAAUUUUCUCCUCUGUCAGAGAAGAGACUGGCUGGCAGAGCAAGGGGUCUUGCUGUGUCCCUCGGGCUGGAGUGCAGUGGCACCAUCACAGUUCACUUGCAGCCUCGACCUCCCUGGGUUCAAGCCAUCCUCCUGCCUCAGCCUCCAGAGGAGCUGGACUACAGAUAUGGAGUCGCCUAAGCUGGAGUGCAGUGACAUGAUCUCGGCUCACUGUAACCUCUGUCUCCCGGAUUCAAGCAAUUCUCCUGCCUCAGCCUCUGGAGUAGCUGGGAUUACAGCUGGGUGCGGUGGCUCAGGACUGUAAUUCCAGCUACAUGAGAGGAUUGCCUGAGGCCAGGAGUUUGAGACCAGCCUGAACAACAUAAUAGACUGGGAGCUCCAUGAGGUCCGAGACAACCUGAAGACGCCCAGCUCAGCAGAGACUGGCUACGGCAAUCACUCAGUAACUAUUUGUUGAAUUGGACAUAAUAGAAGAGCUGAAGAAUU
Molecule: long non-coding RNA, 612 nt
Organism: Homo sapiens (human)
Lineage: Eukaryota; Metazoa; Chordata; Mammalia; Primates; Hominidae
Product: long intergenic non-protein coding RNA 649
Source: Ensembl